Molecule: ribosomal RNA, 484 nt
Filed under: uncultured bacterium
Lineage: Bacteria
Description: partial 16S ribosomal RNA
Rfam family: Bacterial small subunit ribosomal RNA
Source: RNAcentral
GACGAACGCUGGCGGCGUGCUUAACACAUGCAAGUCGUACGGUAAGGCCCUUUCGGGGGUACACGAGUGGCGAACGGGGGAGUAACACGUGGGUAACCUGCCCACUACUUUGUGAUAACGCUGGGAAACUGGGGCUACUAAUGGAUAUGUGCCCUUGCUGCUAGGGGGGGGUUGGAAAGAUCUGCGGGUUGUGGAUGGACCCGCGGCCGAUUGGCGUGUUGGCGGGGUAGUGGCCUACCGAGGCGGCGACGGGCAGCCGGUCUGAGAGGGUGACCGGCCACACUGGAGGUGAGCGACGGUCCAGGGUCCUACGGGCGGCAGCAGUGGGGAAUGUUGGAAGAAGGGGGGAAUAUUGAACAAGCCAUGCCAGGCGGAUGAAGCAGGCCUUCGGGCUGUAUGGCCCUCUUGGUGUGAUAGAAAGGCUGCAGCUGGGUAGAAGCCUGUUCUGACGGUACCCAAAGAAGAAGCACCGGCUAACUACGUG